Molecule: ribosomal RNA, 392 nt
Filed under: uncultured Gammaproteobacteria bacterium
Lineage: Bacteria; Pseudomonadati; Pseudomonadota; Gammaproteobacteria
Description: bacterial SSU rRNA
Rfam family: Bacterial small subunit ribosomal RNA
Source: RNAcentral
AAUGGAGGAAACUCUGAUGCAGCGAUGCCGCGUGAGUGAAGAAGGCCCUUGGGUUGUAAAGCUCUUUCGUCGGGGAAGAAAAUGACUGUACCCGAAUAAGAAGGUCCGGCUAACUUCGUGCCAGCAGCCGCGGUAAUACGAAGGGACCUAGCGUAGUUCGGAAUUACUGGGCUUAAAGAGCUCGUAGGUGGUUGAAAAAGUUGGUGGUGAAAUCCCAGAGCUUAACUCUGGAACUGCCAUCAAAACUUUUCAGCUAGAGUUUGAUAGAGGAAAGCAGAAUUUCUAGUGUAGAGGUGAAAUUCGUAGAUAUUAGAAAGAAUACCAAUUGCGAAGGCAGCUUUCUGGAUCAUUACUGACACUGAGGAACGAAAGCAUGGGUAGCGAAGAGGAUU